AUCACAUUUAUGCUCAUAACAAAAGAAGAAAGAUAAAACAGGAGUGGCCAAAUAAUUUAGUCCAUAGAACAAUGUAAUAAAAUACACAGAUUAGAUGUCAUUGUAUGUUAAGUGCUAAACUUUAACCAUUGUUUGUUUUAGUUUUUUUUUAAAUAUUUUACCUUUAAGUUACUAAUUUUUUUUAGCCAUUUUAGAGGCCACUUGUCAGAGCUUCAGUCUUCCUGAACUCCUUUUAUGGUACUGAAGUUGGUUGUUGAAAGUCCAAAGCUUGGGGAAAACCCCAACGAGGAAAUGUUUGACUGUGAGGUCAUUUGGACUGCGCUACAAAUACAGACGUGUGUGCGAUAGUUCGAAGCAUUUGUGAAGAGUUUUCCUCUGCAGACGACAGGAGAUUCAAGGUUCAACAAGAAAAAGACAACAUGAACACGGUUCCCCUGAUCUUCAUCCUGAUUCUGGCUGUAUGCAGCAGCAGCCAGGGGGCUUCACCAUGCACCGCUACCAGCCCUCAAUCACAGUACAUCAACUUUGUCCAGAGACACAUCCUUCAAUCUGUAUUCAACAGGAACUCAGUAACAGCUUGGGAAAUCUACCUCAGAAAGAAAGGCCUGUGGUGCAGAGAAAAAAUGCAGAGCUUCCUGGAGACCAGUCAGAACGACAUCUGCACCGCCAGUGGACGUCGAGUUAUGAACGGCGGUAAUUUGUGCAUGAGCGCCAACAACCGAUGGGUAUAUGACGUCUUUACCAACCUCUCCCGCUGUCAGAUUAAGGUAACUCGGAGACAAACUCGUGUGGUUGUGACAUGUAACAAGGUGAACAAUCGCUGCCUUCCCGUCCACUUCGAGCCCUUCACCCACAAAUACCCAAGUAUCUUUCCUUGUGUGCGAACCAUUGUUUAG
This 896-nucleotide long non-coding RNA is filed under the name Gouania willdenowi (blunt-snouted clingfish). Its description in RNAcentral is "lncRNA (ENSGWIG00000003731.1)". The record is from RNAcentral. Lineage: Eukaryota; Metazoa; Chordata; Actinopteri; Blenniiformes; Gobiesocidae.